UACUCGAGUGGCGAAAGGGCGAGGAAUACAUGGAUAACGUGCCUUUGGCAUGGGGACAGCUGAGGGAAACUUCAGGUAAUACCCAAUGAGACCACAGUGCUUUCGGGCACAGGGGUCAAAGAUGGGGCUCCUUCGGGACCUAUCGGCCAUAGAGCGGUCCAUGUCCUAUCAGCUUGUUGGUGAGGUAAUGGCUCACCAAGGCGACGACGGGUACCGGGACUGAGAGGUUGACCCGGCGCAUCGGGACUGAGACACUGCCCGGACUCCUACGGGAGGCUGCAGUAACGAAUAUUGGUCAAUGGGCGAAAGCCUGAACCAGCGACGCCGCGUGUGGGAGGAAGCCCUUCGGGGUGUAAACCACUGUCAGGGAUUACCAAGCAAUGGAGGCUAAUACCCUCCUGCGUUGAGGCGUCCCAGAGGAAGUCACGGCUAACUUCGUGCCAGCAGCCGCGGUAAUACGAAGGUGGCGAGCGUUGUUCGGAAUCACUGGGCUUAAAGAGCACGUAGGCGGACUGCCAAGCGUCUUGUGAAAUCCCCCGGCUCAACCGGGGAAUUGCUGGGCGAACUGGUAGUCUUGAGGCAAGUAGGGGCAGAUGGAACUCUUGGUGGAGCGGUGGAAUGCGUAGAUUUCAAGAGGAACGCCAGAGGCGAAGGCGAUCUGCUGGGCUUGACCUGACGCUGAGGUGCGAAAGCCAGGGGAGCAAACGGGAUUAGAUACCCCGGUAGUCCUGGCCAUAAACGAUGUCCACUAGAUCGGUGAACUUCUGA
This 768-nucleotide ribosomal RNA is filed under the name uncultured organism. RNAcentral describes it as "bacterial SSU rRNA". It matches the Rfam family "Bacterial small subunit ribosomal RNA", at positions 88 to 835 of the family's 1533-position model. The record is from RNAcentral.